UACGUAGGAUGCAAGCGUUGUCCGGAAUUAUUGGGCGUAAAGAGCGCGUAGGCGGUAUAGCAAGUCUGAUGUAAAAUCUCCCGGCUUAACUGGGAGGGGCCAUUGGAAACUGCUAAACUAGAGUGCAGGAGAGGUCAGUAGAAUUCCCGGUGUAGUGGUGAAAUGCGUAGAUAUCGGGAGGAAUACCAGUGGCGAAGGCGACUGACUGGCCUGCAACUGACGCUGAGGCGCGAAGGCUAGGGGAGCAAACAG
This 252-nucleotide ribosomal RNA is filed under the name uncultured bacterium. Its description in RNAcentral is "partial 16S ribosomal RNA". It matches the Rfam family "Bacterial small subunit ribosomal RNA", at positions 524 to 775 of the family's 1533-position model. The record is from RNAcentral.